AGAGUUUGAUCCUGGCUCAGAUUGAACGCUGGCGGCAGGCUUAACAUAUGCAAGUCGAACGGUAGCAGGAGAAAGCUUGCUUUCUUGCUGACGAGUGGCGGACGGGUGAGUAAUGCUUGGGAAUCUGGCUUAUGGAGGGGGAUAACGACGGGAAACUGUCGCUAAUACCGCGUAGUGUCGAGAGACGAAAGUGCGGGACCGCAAGGCCGCAUGCCAUGAGAUGAGCCCAAGUGGGAUUAGGUAGUUGGUGGGGUAAAGGCCUACCAAGCCUGCGAUCUCUAGCUGGUCUGAGAGGAUGGCCAGCCACACUGGAACUGAGACACGGUCCAGACUCCUACGGGAGGCAGCAGUGGGGAAUAUUGCGCAAUGGGGGGAACCCUGACGCAGCCAUGCCGCGUGAAUGAAGAAGGCCUUCGGGUUGUAAAGUUCUUUCGGUAUUGAGGAAGGAGUGUAUGUUAAUAGCAUGCAUUAUUGACGUUAAAUACAGAAGAAGCACCGGCUAACUCCGUGCCAGCAGCCGCGGUAAUACGGAGGGUGCGAGCGUUAAUCGGAAUAACUGGGCGUAAAGGGCACGCAGGCGGUUAUUUAAGUGAGGUGUGAAAGCCCCGGGCUUAACCUGGGAAUUGCAUUUCAGACUGGGUAACUAGAGUACUUUAGGGAGGGGUAGAAUUCCACGUGUAGCGGUGAAAUGCGUAGAGAUGUGGAGGAAUACCGAAGGCGAAGGCAGCCCCUUGGGAAUGUACUGACGCUCAUGUGCGAAAGCGUGGGGAGCAAACAGGAUUAGAUACCCUGGUAGUCCACGCUGUAAACGCUGUCGAUUUGGGGAUUGGGCUUAAAGCUUGGUGCCCGUAGCUAACGUGAUAAAUCGACCGCCUGG
Molecule: ribosomal RNA, 877 nt
Filed under: uncultured bacterium
Lineage: Bacteria
Description: bacterial SSU rRNA
Rfam family: Bacterial small subunit ribosomal RNA
Source: RNAcentral